RNAcentral lists this ribosomal RNA (509 nucleotides) under uncultured Actinomycetes bacterium. RNAcentral describes it as "bacterial SSU rRNA". It matches the Rfam family "Bacterial small subunit ribosomal RNA", at positions 355 to 874 of the family's 1533-position model. The record is from RNAcentral. Lineage: Bacteria; Bacillati; Actinomycetota; Actinomycetes.
UGGGGAAUAUUGGACAAUGGGCGAAAGCCUGAUCCAGCAACGCCGCGUGAGGGAUGACGGCCUUCGGGUUGUAAACCUCUUUCAGCAGGGACGAAGCGCAAGUGACGGUACCUGCAGAAGAAGCACCGGCCAACUACGUGCCAGCAGCCGCGGUAAUACGUAGGGUGCGAGCGUUGUCCGGAAUUAUUGGGCGUAAAGGGCUCGUAGGCGGUUUGUCACGUCGGGAGUGAAAACUCGGGGCUUAACCCCGAGCCUGCUUCCGAUACGGGCUGACUAGAGGUAUGCAGGGGAGAACGGAAUUCCUGGUGUAGCGGUGAAAUGCGCAGAUAUCAGGAGGAACACCGGUGGCGAAGGCGGUUCUCUGGGCAUUACCUGACGCUGAGGAGCGAAAGUGUGGGGAGCGAACAGGAUUAGAUACCCUGGUAGUCCACACCGUAAACGUUGGGCGCUAGGUGUGGGACUCAUUCCACGAGUUCCGUGCCGCAGCUAACGCAUUAAGCGCCCCGCCU